UCCUGUGUUGUGGCGAUUGCAAGUUUCAGU
This 30-nucleotide non-coding RNA is filed under the name Mus musculus (house mouse). The record is from RNAcentral. Lineage: Eukaryota; Metazoa; Chordata; Mammalia; Rodentia; Muridae.